Xyrauchen texanus (razorback sucker) is the source of this 793-nucleotide long non-coding RNA. RefSeq lists it as uncharacterized. The transcript has 6 exons. Lineage: Eukaryota; Metazoa; Chordata; Actinopteri; Cypriniformes; Catostomidae. The record is from RefSeq and is a predicted model, not a curated record.
CAGUGAUGUUCACGGCAACUGAGCAGCAAUUACCUCUCGAAUCUUACGAAGAAUUUAAACACAUGAUUACAAAAAAAGGAAAUACCGCAGCAAUUAAUAAAACGAGAGAAAAAGGCUGGCAGGAAAUUGCUGAUCGUCUCAAUGCCAGCAAAUUAAGUGAAGAAAAAAGAACAUGGCAGCAGGUGAAAAUAAAAUAUAAAAAUAUUGUUCAGAAUGCUGCCAAAAAGAAGAGUGAGGUUGCUGGCACUGGGGGAGGGCCACCAACAGCCAACUUUACUCCUGCAGAGGAGCUGGCAUUAGACCUGAAUAAAGGGAGGCCUGUCAUUGAGGGAAUAGAGGGGGAACAGCAUCUGGAUCCAUUCCAUCCAUGAUGCCAAAUUCUGUGUGCUUUCUGGAUCCACCAGACAUCAUGCUGAACCCUGUUGAAGGCCCAUCUACAGUUGAGGAGGAUGAGGAGACUGUGUCAGUAUGUUCAAGGAGGCCUGAGGAUGCUGACACCCUUCUAGAGCCCUCUCAGUCUGGGACCACAUGUGACCAAGUGAGUAUUAAAAAAUUACAAACAAAGUGCCAAGAGCACUAGAUCAAAUUGAAAAAAACUUAAAUUUCUGUUCCUACAAAACCCAGAACAUAAAGGGAGUCUACAAAAGGUAUCUCCUGAAACAAAUGGAGGCCAUAGAUACUGACAUCCAAUAUAAAAAAACUCAAGAUGAGAAAGUUGGAGCUGGAAAUCCAACAGCUUGAGAAAAAUGCAAGUAGAACUGCCAUAUUUAAAACAAUGACACAUGACCUUUUU